GACGAACGCUGGCGGCGUGCUUAACACAUGCAAGUCGAACGGAAAGGCCCUGCUUUUGUGGGGUGCUCGAGUGGCGAACGGGUGAGUAACACGUGAGUAACCUGCCCUUGACUUUGGGAUAACUUCAGGAAACUGGGGCUAUUACCGGAUAGGAGCUCCUGCUGCAUGGUGGGGGUUGGAAAGUUUCGGCGGUUGGGGAUGUACUCGCGGCUUAUCAGCUUGUUGGUGGGGUAGUGGCUUACCAAGGCUUUGACGGGUAGCCGGCCUGAGAGGGGGACCGGCCACAUUGGGACUGAGAUACGGCCCAGACUGCUACGGGAGGCAGCAGUGGGGAAUAUUGCACAAUGGGCGGAAGCCUGAUGCAGCAACGCCGCGUGCGGGAUGACGGGCUUCGGGUUGUAAACCGAUGUCGCCUGUGACGAGGCGUGAGUGACGGUAAUGGGUAAAGAAGCACCGGCUAACUACGUG
This 468-nucleotide ribosomal RNA is filed under the name uncultured bacterium. RNAcentral describes it as "partial 16S ribosomal RNA". It matches the Rfam family "Bacterial small subunit ribosomal RNA", at positions 28 to 507 of the family's 1533-position model. The record is from RNAcentral.